RNAcentral lists this ribosomal RNA (667 nucleotides) under uncultured bacterium. Its description in RNAcentral is "bacterial SSU rRNA". It matches the Rfam family "Bacterial small subunit ribosomal RNA", at positions 8 to 698 of the family's 1533-position model. The record is from RNAcentral.
AGAGUUUGAUCAUGGCUCAGGAUGAACGCUGGCGGCGUGCUUAAUACAUGCAAGUCGAACGGGGAGUAGCAAUACUUCUAGUGGCGAACGGGUGAGUAACGCGUGGGUGACCUGCCCCGAAGUGUGGGAUAACAGUUCGAAAGGACUGCUAAUACCGCAUGCAGUUUCAGGGAUUAGAAGCCUGAAACAAAAGGAGCAAUCCGCUUUGGGAGGGACCUGCGACCCAUCAGCUAGUUGGUAAGGUAGUGGCUUACCAAGGCGACGACGGGUAGGGGACCUGAGAGGGUGACCCCCCACACUGGCACUGAAACACGGGCCAGACACCUACGGGUGGCAGCAGUAGGGAAUAUUGCACAAUGGGCGCAAGCCUGAUGCAGCAACGCCGCGUGCGCGAUGAAGGCCUUCGGGUCGUAAAGCGCUUUUCUGGGAGACGAGGAAGGACGGUAUCCCAGGAAUAAGGCUCGGCUAACUACGUGCCAGCAGCCGCGGUAAAACGUAGGAGCCAAGCGUUAUCCGAAUUUACUGGGCGUAAAGCGCGUGCAGGCGGCUGAGUAAGUGGGCUGUAAAAUCUCCCGGCUCAACUGGGAGGGGACGGUCCAGACUGCUUGGCUCGAGGCAGGUAGAGGGAGGUGGAAUUCCGGGUGUAGUGGUGAAAUGCGUAGAUAUC